This 492-nucleotide ribosomal RNA is filed under the name uncultured bacterium. RNAcentral's name for it is "partial 16S ribosomal RNA". It matches the Rfam family "Bacterial small subunit ribosomal RNA", at positions 29 to 507 of the family's 1533-position model. The record is from RNAcentral.
AGUGAACGCUGGCGGUAGGCCUAACACAUGCAAGUCGAACGGCAGCACCGUAAGAGCUUGCUCUUACGGGUGGCGAGUGGCGGACGGGUGAGGAAUACAUCGGAAUCUACUUUUUCGUGGGGGAUAACGUAGGGAAACUUACGCUAAUACCGCAUACGACCUACGGGUGAAAGCAGGGGAUCUUCGGACCUUGCGCGAUUGAAUGAGCCGAUGUCGGAUUAGCUAGGUGGCGGGGUAAAGGCCCACCAAGGCGACGAUCCGUAGCUGGUCUGAGAGGAUGAUCAGCCACACUGGAACUGAGACACGGCACAGACUCCUACGGGAGGCAGCAGUGGGGAAUAUUGGACAAUGGGGGAAAGCCUGAUCCAGCCAUACCGCGUGGGUGAAGAAGGCCUUCGGGUUGUAAAGCCCUGUUGUUGGGAAAGAAAAGCAGCAGGUUAAUACCCCGCUGUUCUGACGGUACCCAAAGAAUAAGCACCGGCUAACUUCGUG